GGAUGCGAUCAUACCAGCACUAAAGCACCGGAUCCCAUCAGAACUCCGAAGUUAAGCGUUUUUGGGCGAGAGUAGUACUAGGAUGGGUGACCUCCUGGGAAGUCCUCGUGUUGCAUUCC
This 119-nucleotide ribosomal RNA is filed under the name Triticum aestivum (bread wheat). Lineage: Eukaryota; Viridiplantae; Streptophyta; Magnoliopsida; Poales; Poaceae. The record is from RNAcentral.